GUGGCUUUUAUAGACUCCUGCGGUUCGGUGCUGUUGCCAGUCAGAAGAACAAUUUUCCAGAUAUUCCAGAAUCUCGGAUGUCCUGGAACAGAUUAAAACCUUGCUGCUGGAGGAACUUAGCUAAUUCCAGGAAUCUGUACCUUAAAUGGAAAUGAGCAGAAUUUAUCUGGUAUCAUCAGUGAUGAAGUUACCUGGUACGUUACCUUCUACUGUGCACAGUGAACUGCUGGAUGCUUCAAUGGAAAAGGAGCCUGACUCCUCAUUUAGCACCAGAUAUAGGAAUGCUCAGGAUUCACGCUUUCAUCUAGAUGAACACAUGGGCUAUCUAACCUGUCUUUUAAAAUGGGCUGACAAAAAAUUGCUUCUACUGAUCUGCUGUGUGUGUGUACAUGAGUUCAGUGGAGACUCAGCUCAGAGGAACAAUGAAGACACCGAAGGCCCAGUUACUAAGAGCUGUCUGUGCAGGGAUGAACAAAUGAGGAAAAGCAAAAAGAUAGCAGGAAAAAAUCUCCUGGUGCCACCUGAUCCUCUCACCUGA
RNAcentral lists this long non-coding RNA (538 nucleotides) under Anas platyrhynchos platyrhynchos (common mallard). Its description in RNAcentral is "lncRNA (ENSAPLG00000024097.1)". Lineage: Eukaryota; Metazoa; Chordata; Aves; Anseriformes; Anatidae. The record is from RNAcentral.